This 483-nucleotide long non-coding RNA is filed under the name Salmo salar (Atlantic salmon). Its description in RNAcentral is "lncRNA (ENSSSAG00000096276.1, ENSSSAG00075023917.1)". The record is from RNAcentral. Lineage: Eukaryota; Metazoa; Chordata; Actinopteri; Salmoniformes; Salmonidae.
AAAGAGGUGGGGUUUCAGGUGUCUCCGGAAGGUGGUGAUUGACUCCGCUGUCCUGGCGUCUUGAGGGAGCUUGUUCCACCAUUGGUGCCAGAGCAGCGAACAGUUUUGACUGGGCUGAGCGGGAACUGUGCUUCCGCAAAGAAACAGUGCUCGGAUCUUGUCCCCUGGACCUUGGAGGACUUUUGGUGUGGAUGAUGUUCAGGGCCUACCAAAGCAAGAUUUCUCAAACAACUGUGUGGUGUUUGUUUUGAUGAAAAAUAAGCAGCAAAUUAGGUGACGGGGGUGCCUAGUUCUCCUGCAGAACUUUCCCAUGCUGUAAGUCUUGAACAUUAUAAAAACGUUUCAUUUGCAUCCUUAAAAUCACUUGUUUCAUGUUGUAGCCAGACUGACCUGAAAAUAUGUUCAUAUUGAAUGUAUGUCAUUCACUCACUAAGGUCUGAAGAAGAAAGGUUGAAAGAUCGAAAAAGGCGGCGAAAACAAAAC